UUCAACUUGCAGCGAAAAAAGAAUCACACCUUAUGGUUGGAGAUGGAUUGAUUGGUGAGACGCGGGGCCUGGGGCGUGGAUCGUUGCUGGAAAGCAGAUAAUGAAUGGGACUCUCCUCAACGUGUCUCACGGUGCCUGGUACAUCAAGUAGAUUAACACUGCUUAUUAGUUUUGUUCAACUUGCAGCGAAAAAAUGAUCAUACCUUAGUUGGAGAUGGAUUGAUUGGUUUUUGUUCAACUUGCAGCGAAAAAAGGAUCAUGAGACGCGAGGCCUGCGGGCGUGGAUCGUUGGUAGAAAGCAGAUGAUGGAUGGGACUCUCCUCAGCGUGUUUCACGGUGCCUAAUCGAUCUCUUCCUGGGGUGGGCGAGGCGAGCGUGGGGCGAGAGAAGGAAAGUGCCUGAUCAAUCUCUUCCUGGGGCCUGAUCGAUCUCUUCCUGGUGUGGGUGCUAAUAUAGUUUUUUCAAAAGGAAUCGUGUGUGUCUUGGUUUGUUACUACGAACCCAAACGGCAAGCUAUCCUGGUUGGAUUCAGUUAUGUGAUUGUAUAUGGCAGUUCCUGCCUGAUCUAUCUCUUCCUUGGCAAUUCCGGCAAGCUAACCUGGUUGGAUUCAGUUCGUGAUUGUAUAUGGCAGUUCUGAUCGAUCUCUUCCGAUCGAUCUCUUCCUUCGGGCCCUGCUGGGCCUGCGGGGUGCUGGGCCUCGAGCGUGGGAUCGGGAGAGGCGAGCGUGGGGCGAGGGAAGUAAAGCUUGACACGCGACGAAAGAAACGGUCCGUAGUUUUUAAGCAGGUAUAGAUAUCUCGUCAUAUUAAUACCGUGUAGAUCAACUCAUAAUAGUACCAAGACAAAAUCAGGGUAACAACAUUCGUCAAAAUUUAAUAACUGAUCAUGUAUCAAUGGUACUUAUGUUAAUCUUAUUGCGUCCUUUGGCACAUAGAAUGACCAUUAACGUGCAUCAAACAAAUAACGGUAUGAAUAUCGCCAAUUUUUUUACAAUCAAAUAGUUAACUAAAUAGCUACCUAAAAGCACUGAAAAACAAAUAGCCAUACAUCAAACAAACAACUCGAAUUGGCCUCGGGUCGACCCACAUCAACCUUUCUCUAUAGUAGAAAGAGAAGAACAAGAGAAAGGAAUAAUCCAAAAAUCCAAACAAUUCUUUAAUCCCCUUUCUCCAAACAGAUGGAGAGUAGCAAAAAUAGCGGUGAGAGAAAACAUCGCUCCCGGUCCUUGCCUCCCCAAAAGCCCCGUAGAGUUGGAUGGGAUGAGGAUGGACAUUGUUUCUUGGCGGAGAGGAUCGGAUAGCAAGGGCGGCCUGAGGUCCGCGGUCGCCGACACCGGAGGGCGGCCGAGGCCGCGGCCUGAGGCGGCGGCGGCGGAGACCAAGCCCACGGCCGCGCUUUGCGGAGGCAUGGAGGCACCUAUGCUAGGCUGUGGCUGCUGCUCGAGAAAUCCAGGAGAGAGGGACAGGAGAGAAGAUUGGGAGACGGGAGAGAGACAGGAGUUGCAGAGAGAUUAACUUGGGGGCAGAGGAAUUAUUAAGAAAAAUAAUGGACACGUGCUGGGCAAAUAAGAUAGGGGUAGAUACAGUGGGCGGUACGGUACGGAGAGGUUGCAUAUCAUCCUGAUAGUGAUAGAUCUUUAUCCCGCAGAACUAUAUCUAGAAUCUCUAAAGAGCUGGAAUCAAAUAGAGUUAUUCCUUAACGUUUCAUGCAUAUUUCUUGCUUUAAGGAGACAAAAUGAAUUCCAAGGAACCUUUCAAACAGAGAGUUCUCCAGAAUCUUGGCGUACCCGUCGGUGGCUGGAUUUGUCCUCAAGACACCACCAUCCUGAUAAAAUUUCACAAAAUUCUAAUCCAUCAGUGCAAGGGAAGCACAACUUGUUUAUGAAGAUGUUUUUUUCUGAACUAAUUACCCAAUUUGCGUUGGUUCUCAGUCGAGCAAGGAUUUUUCAGAAAUUAUAUAUUGUACGUUUCCUGAAAUCCAAGUUCUAAAUCCCUAUACAUGCGUAUGAGAACAGCAACGUCAAAGAAUAGUUUUGAUUCAACCGCUGCUGUGAGAAGCAUUUGAAUAAUUUGAAAUGGAUCAUGUGUUUCACGUUGUACCACUUGGUCAAAUUACUUUCUCAAAAUGACUGAGUCUUUAUGGAAGCACCGCAACCGCAAUGCCAUCGUCUUCAAUAACAAACAAACUUGCCUUGCUAUGCAGCUCGACACCAUUCGGCACGAUGGUAGAUCCUUCCGGCAGAACUUAGCGAGUAGGUCGUGAGUUCUACCUCUAGGGCGUGGACCCUUCCGUGGCCUCAUAUAUAGUUUUGAUAAAUGUAUCGGAACACACUACUUUUGCGUUUCCUAGGAAAUUUUUUUAUGUAACGUGAAUUGGGUGUUCACUUGAUGUGUUACCAAGACCAAAACCUGUAAAACUAAAAAACACACAUACCAUAAACUCUAUACAUGCACUAUUCUUCUUUACCUGCACCACAAAUGUCCAAAUUAUAACACGAGAAAUACAUAAAGUGGCGCUUAUACAACAAGGUAUCGUGAAUACAAUUCUCAACCUGGAAUUAUGAUUAGAAAAACUGCAAGCACAACACAGAAUAUCGUAAACAUUCGGAACAUUAUUAUAAUUACCAUUCAAAUUACAUAAUAUGAUCACACCGCUCCUUCCAGUUGUCAACACUGGAAUUGAUGUGUAGAUAGAUUUUCCAAGUACUUGUCCACAAUAUCCAAACCACACAGUUCCUUAACCACUGUCAUUGGCGCAGGGACAUCGAGCUGGAAUGUGAGCGGUGAGCUUCCAGACCCAGUGCUGUGUGCGAAUUCCUUUCUUGCUGCGCAGAUAGCUUCUCUCACCGC
Molecule: long non-coding RNA, 2850 nt
Filed under: Brachypodium distachyon (stiff brome)
Lineage: Eukaryota; Viridiplantae; Streptophyta; Magnoliopsida; Poales; Poaceae
Description: long non-coding RNA (BDIS_LNC001023)
Source: RNAcentral